This 200-nucleotide unclassified non-coding RNA is filed under the name plant metagenome. Its description in RNAcentral is "partial contains small subunit ribosomal RNA and internal transcribed spacer 1". The stretch from base 1 to 46 matches the Rfam family "Eukaryotic small subunit ribosomal RNA", at positions 1786 to 1831 of the family's 1831-position model. The record is from RNAcentral.
AAGUCGUAACAAGGUAACCGUAGGUGAACCUGCGGUUGGAUCAUUAAUAAAUGAUUGUUUUGUUGAGCUCUUUCACUAGAGCUCCAAAAUAAACUUACACCAUGUGCACUAAAUAGUCUUUGGUCUCUUGUAUUAGAGACCAACUUAUUUAAAACUUUUAUUUAAAUUUUGCCUGAAAUUAUUAUAUAAAUAAUUAACAA